This 505-nucleotide ribosomal RNA is filed under the name uncultured bacterium. Its description in RNAcentral is "partial 16S ribosomal RNA". It matches the Rfam family "Bacterial small subunit ribosomal RNA", at positions 28 to 507 of the family's 1533-position model. The record is from RNAcentral.
GACGAUCGCUGGCGGCGUGCCUAAUACAUGCAAGUCGAACGCACAGUUUAUACCGUAGCUUGCUACACCAUCAACUGUGAGUUGCGAACGGGUGAGUAACGCGUAGGUAACCUGCCUGGUAGCUGGGGAUAAAUAUUGGAAACGAUAGCUAAUACCGCAUAAUAUUAAUUAUUGCAUGAUUAUUAAUCGAAAGCUGCAAUUUCAUCACUAGCAGAUGGACCUUCGUUGUAUUAGUUAGUAGGUGAGGUAACGGCUCACCUAGGCGUCGAUACAUAGCCGGACGGAGAGGGGUAGCGGCCAAACGGGUACUGAGACACGGCCCAGACUUCUACGGGAGGCAGCAGUAGGGAAUCUUAGGCAAUGGACGAAAGUCUGACCGAGAAACGCCGCGUGAGUGAAGAAGGUUUUCGGAUCGUAAAGCUCUGUUGUAAGAGAAGAACGGGUGUGAGAGUGGAAAGUUCACACUGUGACGGUAUCUUACCAGAAAGGGACGGCUAACUACGUG